This 511-nucleotide long non-coding RNA is filed under the name Manihot esculenta (cassava). RNAcentral's name for it is "long non-coding RNA (MESC_LNC012251)". Lineage: Eukaryota; Viridiplantae; Streptophyta; Magnoliopsida; Malpighiales; Euphorbiaceae. The record is from RNAcentral.
AAGAAAAUUUUUAUGUAGAUCAAGAUGAUAUGCUAAAUAAUGAUUUUUGCAGGGAAGAGAACCAGAAAGAGCCAGAACUGAAAGACACUAACUGUUGCAUCCAACAGGUGGACUGUGAACACGCACAGAACAAAGGAGAGCCUAUCACACCUCUUCAAAUCAAUCUUGCGCAGUCAGAAGGAACUCCAACUGAACCACCUCAGCUUGGACCGCAGGACAGUCCUGCAACUCUUCUAGUUGCACCUCUUCAGCUUCCAUCGCAUGAAACUCCUUUCAUUCUUCCAUUCCAGAUCAAUCUUGCGCAAGAAGGAGUACCUGAAAUCCUCUCAGGCGCGUCCUUUUAGCUUCCCACACAAAUCAGUCUUCCACCUCAGUUAGGUCCUAUGCAGAAGGAGGAAACUGAAACUCCUUUCAUCCUUCCAAUGCAAACAGUCCAUGCCCAGGAGGGACAAAUGGUAGUCCAAUGGCCCAAACCAAAGGAGCAUGCAGAUCAAUGCCUUCCAAAACCUCC